CAGUAAAUAAAGGACUAGAUCAGCAGAACGUAUGCUGCACAAAUAUCCUUCACACCAUUAUACCACCAUCUUCACGGUGGUGGAUUUGGUAGUCCACAACAUGUACUUGGUGAACCUGCAUCCUCCACCCCAGUCUUAUUGUUCUGCAGUGAAGCAUGGCAGCAGAUGAGGUCCUCUGGCACACAGAUAGAAACACAAGAAGAUCAGCCUCAAACAGUGACAAAGAAACAAACUGAGAGCAUUCCUUUUAUUGGCUCUGCACUGAUGCUAUC
Molecule: long non-coding RNA, 272 nt
Organism: Girardinichthys multiradiatus
Lineage: Eukaryota; Metazoa; Chordata; Actinopteri; Cyprinodontiformes; Goodeidae
Exons: 3
Source: RefSeq, a predicted model, not a curated record